GGCGGACGGGUGAGUAACACGUAAGUAACCUACCCUUAAGCUGGGGACAACUCAGGGAAACUUGAGCUAAUACCCGAUAAGACCACGAACUGAGAUGUUAGUGGUAAAAGGAGCAAUUCACUUAAGAAUGGGCUUGCGGCCUAUCAGGUAGUUGGUGAGGUAACGGCCCACCAAGCCUAAGACGGGUAGCCGGACUGAGAGGUUGAACGGCCACACUGGAACUGAGAUACGGUCCAGACUCCUACGGGAGGCAGCAGUGGGGAAUCUUGCGCAAUGGGGGAAACCCUGACGCAGCGACGCCGCGUGGAGGAUGAAGGCCUUCGGGUUGUAAACUCCUUUUCUCAGGGAAAAUGGUGAUGGUACCUGAGGAAUAAGCCACGGCUAACUCUGUGCCAGCAGCCGCGGUAAGACAGAGGUGGCGAGCGUUGUUCGGAAUUACUGGGCUUAAAGGGCGAGUAGGCGGUAAGGCAAGUCCGAGGUGGAAUCCUAUGGCUUAACCAUAGAACGGCCUCGGAAACUGCUUUUCUUG
Molecule: ribosomal RNA, 529 nt
Filed under: uncultured Nitrospira sp.
Lineage: Bacteria; Pseudomonadati; Nitrospirota; Nitrospiria; Nitrospirales; Nitrospiraceae
Description: bacterial SSU rRNA
Rfam family: Bacterial small subunit ribosomal RNA
Source: RNAcentral